UGGUAGAUGGCUCUGGUGCUAGCCAGCCAACUGUUGCUGACUGUUCCAUUUGUUGGCAGAAGGCUUAUGCUGUAUUCGAAUGAAAGAGCGAACAAUGAAUACUUUAACCGGCCUACUGAUUGCCUGCCUGGUGUUGACCGACGCGACGAGGUGUAUUGCCUAAAUCCAAUCCACGGAUUGCUUCCUAGUUGGAGAUUUGACAUCCUCGUGAUCCUGGUGUGCGUGCGCCAUCCUCGAGGAAAUUGCUAGUGACUGUUCGAGUGUUGUUGCAGCUAAGGUCAUCAGAGAGGCCAAC
This is a long non-coding RNA of Gymnodraco acuticeps, 295 nucleotides long. RefSeq lists it as uncharacterized. The record is from RefSeq and is a predicted model, not a curated record. The transcript is spliced from 4 exons. NCBI's taxonomy places the organism in Eukaryota, Metazoa, Chordata, Actinopteri, Perciformes, Bathydraconidae.